CAUGACCGUUGUUUGCUGCCUCUCGACUGUAAGGAUAUCUGAGCUGCACAUUUGGGUCAUUCUUCAGUUCAUCAUGGCUGGGUCAUUGGUGGUCCUCUGCAAAAAAUUAAGAGGAGAGGAAUCUUUGUCCUAUAUUUGCCACAUCAUCCUUUGGAGAUACAACUGUGAUCAUGUUCCCUUGAACUGAGGGAACCGAGAGCUGGCAACUUAUAUUCAAACUUAUUAUUUUUAUUAUUAUUGCCAACUUACUCUUAUUACUAAAUGCAGAUCAAUUCUUGCUUCCAGGUUGCCAACUUACUCUUAUUACUAAAUGCAGAUCAAUUCUUGCUUCCACGUUCAGUCAACUGAUCUAACGAAUCAAGAGACCGAUGCAACAGAGCAACCAAUUGAAACCACACCUUUCACUGACAGCUCCGUCACAUGAAAAUAUUUGUUCUUCUUUGGCAGAGUUAUUUUUAUUCCUCUUUGCAUGGAGAUAUCUGUUUCUACUGUUUUUACAAAUAUUUUGUAUGGUGAGCACACAGGACUCCCAUUGAUGAGUUCAUAUUUUGCCAAAGCUGAUCCCAGGUUAGUUUCUUUUAUAUCCAGUCCAGCACCAAGAGUGGCAUGCUUGGAAACCUGAACACAAGAUAUUACAAGUUAUGCUUAUACUCCCCCAAGUCCUAAAUUCUCUGUUCUACUUGAAUCUUAAUGCAAAUAAUUGAAAGAAAUUCUGGCUUUACAUGCUCCGGUUGUAUUAGUCUUGACGGAUACCUAAUUUCUUCAUCUGCAUUUCUGCAGUCUUACAGUGCACAUACUCGAGCACAAAAAUCUGAGUUGUAUCUUCAGAAUCUAUGUGGCCAACCAGUGUAAAUGUGAAUAUUUUGUACGCUUAAUACUUCUGAUUGGAUAUUUAACUAUUUUAGUAAAUACCUCCUGGGUUACCAUAUGUUUCAGCAUUUAUCAUUCAUGCCAUCGAUAGGUUGUUACUAAA
Long non-coding RNA from Lolium rigidum, 973 nucleotides. RefSeq lists it as uncharacterized. The transcript is spliced from 2 exons. The record is from RefSeq and is a predicted model, not a curated record. Lineage: Eukaryota; Viridiplantae; Streptophyta; Magnoliopsida; Poales; Poaceae.